UAUACUUUAACUUGCGCCACUCUUUUAAAAACUUUCUCUCUAGAAAAAGUUGCCUCUGCCUUCUCUCUAGAAAAAUUCUUUUUUCCUCUCCCUCCAUCCAAACAAGCCGUACGCGGCUAGCAAGAUGUAGACGUCUUUUGGGUGGUGCGCGCGCCUCUUGCGGCUGCACCACCUUCAUCCACCUUUUAAGAGGGUCACGCCGCCGCGUCGAUUCUGGUGUUGUGGUGGUUUCUUCUUCUUCUAUUGGUUCUUUUCCUUGAGGGUUUCAAUGUUUUCGAUCCGGUCCCGUUUUAGUUUGUCCCGAUCUGUUCCAGAUUUGACUGCUACACCGUACACGGCUGUCUGCUACGCCGGAGACCUCUCUCUGUUGCUAUUCACGUUUUUUGGUGGUGGUGCGGUGGUUGUGGUGGUUGUAACGCCCACUUUCGUUUAAUCGUUAUUUAAUCGAGUUUAGGCAAUUAUAUUAUAAUUAUAUAAUAUAUGCGUGAUUUUGUUAUGUUUUGGUGAUUCACGAUGAAUUUAGUGAUUUGAUUGAUGACGUGAUAGUUAUGAGUUUUGGAGGAUUUGAUUAUGAUAUGAGAUUUAUUUUAUUGUUAAAUAGAAUAAAGAUUUGAAAAUAAUAUAAAAUAUUUAGUUGAGGGCUGUUUUGAUAUUUUAGAUAGUUUUGGGGGAGAAAGUGAGAUAAGAUAAGUUAUUAGAAAGAGGUAUAAAUAGGGAAGACCUAAUAUCUUUAGAAAACCAUUGUACGUGAAAACUUUUGGAAAAAGGGAGAAAAGCUUAGAGAGGAGCAAGAGACCAAGAGUGCUGCGAUUUUCUUCAAACAAGGUAAGGGUGAGACUAAUGAUUCAAUAGCAUUGAUCGUUGUAAUUCUGAUGAUUAAUUGACAAAGUUAGGAUUGAUUUAGAAAAGUUUUGGAAUUAGGUCAAAACCCUAAAAAUUGAUGAUCAAACGGUAAAACUUGUUUAGAUUGAGGUAGAAACCGUCCUAUAACCUUAGAACAUGUUUAGGAUGGAUUAUGGAAUCAAAAUUAGGCUUUGAACCAUGUUGUGUGAUGGAUUUUUGAGAAAAACCCUAGUCUGCCCGUGCUUCUGUUCACCGCUCGCCACGGCGAGUGAUGAUCCUCGCCUCGCGAGUGAUGAACUUCAUCGCUCGUCACGCGAGCCCCUUCCCUUCGCCUCGCGAGUUGUUUGGUGCAACUCGCCAUGGCGAGCAACCCUUCCUCGCCUCGCGAGCUUAGGCAGAGUGCAUGUCAUAUUUUGUGUUUCGACAUUUUUAGUUGGACCUUGGCUGCCAUAGAAUGCCUGAACAUACCUAGUAUUGAUUAGGAAUGAAUGUAGGAUCAGAGGGAACCUAGAACAACAUUAGUUUGGGAGAUGAGUGGUACUCGCCAUGGCGAGUAAGUACUCUCGCCUCGCGAGUACAACCAGGAUGAACUUGUUUAUGUGUUUAUGCGAUCUGUGUCGCACUUGUUGAUCAAGAGUGAACCCCUAACUGGUAAUGAGACCUAGUGAUGUCGUUUAAUGCAGACUGUAGAGUUGUUUAAGUUAUAUUAAUAUUAAUUGAAUAUGAACUAUUGUAUUGUAUAUUCAUGCAAGAUAAGAAGAUGUGAUAAUGAUACAAAUGAUGUGCCUUGAUAUAAUGAUAUCAUCUUGUUAUGUGACCUGUUUAUGCUGCUUCCGUUAUUUAACUAAGUGCAUAAUUAUAUGAUGAAGUUUAGCUCCAAAUUAUUGGAUGCAUGUUGAUAAGUUGAUUACGAUGUUUUGUUCAUAUGUGUCCAUGCAUAGCAUAUCAUUGAGCUUAGUCCUCACCACGAAUAUUAGGAGCUUUGUCCUCCGCACGUUUUAUAGGAGCUUUGUCCUCCGCACGAUUAAAGUAUAUUAAUACUUAUGAUGACGAUUGGUACCACAUGCAUAUAAGGAGUCUAGGAGCAUUGUCACAUUGUCAUGAUUAAGAUGCCUUGUUGAUAAUGAAUGAAUAUGUGAUUACGUGAUAAGUGUUUAUUGAUUAUGUUACGUUGUUCAUAAUGAAUUGGAUAUAUGAUUACGUGAUAACUGUUUAACAUUUAUGCAAAGUUAAUAAUGGAACGAUUAUGAUGUUAAUUUAUGAUUCGCAGUUACAUUGAUUAAUGUUAUUUUAUUAUAAAAUCUCACCCCUUCUGCUUGAAAAUGUUGCCCUUCGUAUGGGUAACUUGCAGGUGAUCGUGCUUAGUGUGCAGUUGUCGUCGUGAGUGGCCUUGCCUUCACUGUGUCGUCUAGGUCGCUCUGAUACGUAACGAGAUGGGGUUUUAUGCUAUAACAUGCUUCAUUCUCUUACGUGAACUGCCAUGAAUAUUUACUGUUUUGAUUAACUCUUUUGAGAUACUUGUUGGGCCUGCGUGCCAAAACGUUUCAUGAAUUAUGGUUAAGAUUUUCCGCUGCAAAUGUUUAAGAUAUUGGUUAAAUUAUUAUUUAACUGUUGGAUUACGUUAUAUGUGAUAUCCUGUUGUUUGAUGUUUACUCUGAUAAAUGUAUUGUUUUUAAAGAAAUUUUAAAUAUUGGGAAAACGGGGUGUUACAGUGGUGGUGUUACUGUUCACGGAUUACGAUGGGGGUGGUGGUUCAGCUGGAGUUUUGGUGUGGUGGUGGUGUGGUUCACGGUUGUGUUGUUGUUCACGGAUUUUGAGGUGGUUGCUGAGUUUGAAUGUUGAUGGGGUGGUGGUUCAUUUGGAGUUUUAUGUGGUGGUGGUGAUGAAAUGGUGGAUUGCAGGUGGUGAGAGAGGGUGCCGUCAGCGGGAACAACAGAGAUGGUGGUGCAAGGUGGUUGUUGGUAUGGCUGGUGAUGAUGUGAUGUCUCGUUGGUGAUGAUGUGGUGAUUAUGUUGUGGUGUAGUCACGUUGGUUUUGUGUGGUUGUUUGGUGUGGUACUGUUAGCAGUGGAGCGAGAUGGUUGUGUAGGUUUGUGUAGUGGUGUGUGAUGGUUUGUAGCGUUCGGAUGGGGUGAUUGUGGAUAAUUUGGACUCCGAUUUGGCAUUGAUACGAUUGAUAGACAAGAGCUGAUUAAGUGGGGGUGGUUGAUGUUGUUUAGGUAGGGAGGUGGAUGUUUUUUUGGUGGAUGGUAGUGUACUCUUGGUGUUUCUGUUGUAGGCUGCCUUUGUCUUGGGUCUGUAUCCAUCGUCGCUAGCUCUUGGUGCCUUUUGGUUGUUUUGUGUAUGGGUGCUUGAGUCUGGGUGGUUUUGAGUUGAGCCUUUUCCUUUUCUGAUGUUGGCUAGUCUUCGUGUCUUCUCCGGUUGAUCGGGGGUGAGGGGUGCCUUACUGAUUUGUUUUCAGAGUCUGGUAGGCCGGUCGCUUUUGAUUCGAGAUCGGGAGUCAGUGCUUUGAUUCAAGUCUCCUUUGGGCUAAAUUUGGUGUUUUUUCUUCGGUGGAUCAGGAGUAGAGAGGUGGAGGCCGACUAAGCGUUGGAAUAGGACAUUUUUGGAUGUGGCUCAACUAAGGUGAUGAUAAGGUGUUGGUUGAUUUAGAGGGGUGUUUUUUGGGGUGAGUAGCGAGCGAAGGGGGGUGUAUGGAUUUCGUGUUCAAUGGCUGUUUAUGAUGGAGUUUGAUUUAGGUGGUGAAGUUGGUUUUGGUGAUUGUUGUUCUUUUGGGUGUUGAAAGUAGAUCUUGGUUAGGUGAUGAUUGUUUUGUGUAUUUUAUGGUGUUUAAUUUGGAUGUUCCGCCUAUAUACGACGUCUUUAUCAUGUAACCUCUGAUACUGGUCUUUGUUCGUCUUGAACAGGGAUCAAGUUUUUAAUAUAUUUUGUCGUUUCAAAAAAAUAAAAUUAAUGUGGGGAUCAAUUUUUUUAUACACAUGUCUAUAUUUUUACUCGUAUUUAAUACUGAAAUAAUGUUUUGUACAAUUUGUGCAUCUGUCUAUAUUUUUAUUCAUAUAUCAAUACAAUGAUUUUUUUUUUUAUUUCUACGCAAGUGCGACUUGCUUCCAAAAGAAGAGCGCAACACGCUCAACUGUCUGUAUGCACGGAUAUUCUGUUAGAGCAUUUGAUUGAUCUCUUGUGACAUCUUUAUUAAAGUUAAUAUUAUUUAAUUAUUUGACGGAAUUUUUUAACCUCACUAAUAUUGUGAGUCUAGAUCCGCCGCUAUUAAUAUGUUGAUCAUUAGACAAAUAGUAAGCGUACUCAGACCUAUCUUUUGUGCAUGGAAACAAAUCAGUAACUCAACUCUACUAACAUGAGAUUUUUUUUUGGUUGUACAACUAACGUGAUUUUUAGCAAGAGAGUUUACCCCUAGGAAAUUAGCCUGGCCAAAUAAUCAAGGUGCAUUUCAAAUCAUCAUAUCAUAUUUUAAUAAAAGAGAAAUGAUAGGGACAAUUAUUUUCUAACACUUUCUCUAACAUUUUUUUUUUUGAGCAAACAUUCAUUCUUUUAUUAGGUGAACCUCAUCACUUUAUAUAAAAUUUAAUUUUAAAGCGUAGUAUCCAUAUGGACUUCACUCAAGUAUAUUGUUUCCUUUUCUCUUUACAAACUUUCAAAAGCCGUUCUUUUUCUACCAUUUGAAUUAUUUUGACAGCUGAAGGUGAUUCAUGACAAAUAAAUAUAGAGAAAACUGAGAUAGUUUUUUAUGGAGUAAUGAUAUUUGAACAUCCAUUUUUUAACAACUUUUGUGACAAUCAUCUCUCAUACUCUCAUUGUACUUUUAUUCUCUCUCUUUCUUUUUCUCUCUAUUGUUAUUGUCCAAUAAAAAGAGAGGAAAAAGGUUGUCAUUAAAAAUUAUUGAAAAUUAGUUGUCAAAAUAUCAUUACUCUCUUUUUUAAGCUACAAAAGAUGAGUGAAUAAACAACAAGUUACAACAGCAACAUAACAACGUGAAAUGGGUACAUCUCAAAAUCAAUUUAAAGGACAAAGGGCAUAAUGGAAAUAGGAAAAGCGUAUGUUUACAAUCUAACCUUAAAUUGACAAAAGAAAUUGGUUCUAAUAAGAAAAGCGUAUAUUUACAAAUAGUUCAUUUGGUUAUAAUAAAUAUCAUUAAUUAUUUUUUGUCAAAUAGUCUACUAAUUAGAUACGUGAAGAAUCUAAAGUUCGACCCUCGAUCCUUCCAUAUUACAUGAAAUAUCUCUAACAAUUAAGUUAUACUUAUAGAACAUAAAUAUUAUUAACUUGUUAGUUAAGAAAGUGAUUAUACCGAAACAAUGUAUCAUAUAAGAUCUAGUUAAAUUAUUAAAUAUUAACAUUAGAAGGUCUCAUAGUAGGUCAAUAUCUUGUCAUUAAAUUAAAUGUGAUAGUUUAGUGAUAAGAUCUCGACCUUUGUAAUUUUUAAAAAUUUAAUUAAUCUAAUUCUCCUUAGAAACACUUGUAAGAUGACCAAAUGUGCCACUUUAAUUAAUAAAGGUUUCCCCUUGUCCAAAAUAAACACCUUAAAUACACUUAGUCCUUUGUAACCAAAAAAAUUUAAUGAGUUAGUUAGUUAGUUAUUUUGAGUGUUCCUCCUAUUUUUUCUACUUGAUAGUUAUCCAAUCAGUUAGAAGAAUCUACCUAGUCAAAGUCAAGCUAGAAAACCAAGCAACUGAACCGCCAAAUUUUCUCAAUUACAUAUCUUCCAAAUCUUAAUCCAAAUUUCACUCUCUUUUUUUCUUCUUCCAUUCCAUUUUCAUUUCUUGCAAGUUGUUAUAAUCUCCCACAUUAUUCACAAUUCUUGUGCCAUAACCUUCAAUAUUUCUUCUUUUUCUUUGAUCAGUUUUGCACGUGAAAACCUUUCUUCUUUGUUUCCACCAUGACGACCAAGACCGUUCUUCCAAUCAAGAAAAGAAAGCCAGAAAUACAAGCCCAAAAAUGCAGCAUCACACGUGUGUCUGCACCAUCACCAUCACCAAAACCCUUGAACAAUGCAAACCAAAAGAGCAAAAGCAUCCUCACAGAAGAAUUCAAAGUUGCUUUGCAUGUGAUGAUUUACAAGGCUGAAGGAAUCGACAACCCCGCAAAUUACCCAAGUGUUAACAACAGAGCUUACAAUGUGGUGUAUUGGUUAAAGCCUGAUGAAGAAGCUUCCACCAAGAUUGCUGUAGGUGUUAACCCUGAAUGGAAUCAAGAUGAUAUGGUCGUGUUAGAGAAUCUUGAUGAUGAAGUUUUUCUGAAUGUUGAGGUACAGAGGUUUGAUUCUUUGCUUGAUCCUGGAACUUCUAGUGGUAAAGUUGUGAUAGGGAGGGUGAAGAUUCCUGUUCCGAUGGAGUUUUAUCGACGUAAAGUUGGGUCGUUUCCUCUGCUUAGGAGUGAUGGAAAUGGAAAUAGGCUUGAAGGGAGUAUUCUGCUUGCUAUGAGACUUCAGAGAAUCAAGGGUGAUUCUGAAUCUACUCUUCAAUAUUAUGCUGAUGACUUGUUUUUUGAAGAUGAUGUUGUUAAUUGAGAGAUAGUUACUUAAGACUUAGUACUUUGUUGUGCAUGAUUCUGUGAGUAAUGAGUUCUUUUUCUUUUUUCUGUUUACUAUAUUCUGUUACGAUCAUACUAGUUGGUUGAAUCAAACUCAUUUGUGAAUUGUGGGGAUGUAUUGAUAUUUGAUACUAGUUGUUAUGCUAGCUUGUGUUAAUUUUUGUUCAUGUGUGAAAUUCUGAGGUUAGAUAGAAUGUGGUCAUGAUCAUUGAUCAUGAAAUUUUAUGACUAAUCUGUGUUAACUAGUACGUACUAAUUAUGGAAUUUGUUUUUUUGUUUGUUUGGAAUCAAGCCAAAGAUGGAAUUUGGUAGUUAAUUAGCUGUGAAUCUUGAUAGGAAAUUUCUUGGUCCACAAUGGAUGGAUCAUGGUUCAUGCUGGUUUAGACUCUUUAAUAGAUAUGUGAAAACACAGGAAUUCCCAUCCGAAAUAUGGUGAAUCUUAAUGUGUUAAUACCAGUAUGUUCAAUCUUAAUGCUGCCAAAAUGAUCCUUCAAUUCAAUCUAUAUCAAACCAAUGCCAUUCGUUAUAGAGAGCACUGAAGGAAAUAUAGAGUGUCAGCUUCCAAUUUGAAUUUAAGUGAUUUGUCCGGUGAGAACUAGUAGUCUAGUACAUAUUGUGACCGAGGAGAAGUAUCAUAUGUGAUCUAUAAUAGAUUGAUGUUUGAAAAUAGCACAAAAUUUCCACAAUAACCGAGUGUUGCUACGAUUAAGUCAAAAUUUAGGCCGUCCAUAGAAGGAUUGGCGUUGAUUCGAUAAAAAUAUGAUAAACAAAUAGAAUUUUGUCGAAUCAACAUUGAUUGAGUUACGUACGGUCUCAAUAGAGAGGACGUCGUUGGAGGACGGUGAAUGAUGUUUAAGAUCCUAAUACCAUGCAUUGUGCACUUCAUAAUCUUAUGCUCAGAGACUGAGGAGAUUUUUUUUUUUUUUGGGAAUAAUGUAUCUUGAAACUUACUUUCUCUGAUCCAUAUACUAGCAACAAAAAAAAUUAGCUCGCACCCUUAAAGAAAAGUACAUAACUUUACUUAACUUGUCAUAGGAAAAAAAAAUUGGAUGUCUAUGUACACAAAGAUUCGAUGUAAGACAUUUGUACAAACACUGAUAUUUGAAAGUGAGUUCUAUUUGCAGGUUUACAAUGCUAAAUUAUUUAUGAUGUUAGUGGAGGAAGGAAGAAGAAAAUGAAUAAUGAAUUUUAAAUCAAUUUAUAGAUAAAAAACGUCACUUUAUAAUUAUUUAUAAUGACCAUAUUACCUCUUAAAAUCAAUUUUGGACUCCAAACAUAAUUUUAAUAGUAAACUUUUUGUAUUCAACUCACUUUUAUAUGAAUGUAUCUAAACAUAGAACAUUUUUCAAUCAAAUCACUAGUAACUAAAGAUUGGGUGUGAUUGAGAACGGUUGGUCGGAGCGGAACAACAAUCGAUCGAGUUGAAGUUGAGGAUAUUUGCAAGCACUUCAACGUUCAAGUCGAUAAGAGAACAAUACUUAGAGAUAUUUUUUAGAAGAAAUAAUAUGUACCUUGCUUCGAUGUGAAAAGUGGUACAAAUAAAACUAUGAUGGAGUUUAGUCGUUUGCAGCUGCUACGACCAUUGAGGGAUGUAAGGUGUUACAUGUUGCAGCCAUUCGAACUGGCCUAAGUAUGCAUUGAGGGUGGACGUGGAGCUCAGAUAGGACUCGAGUUUCAUAUUCCAUUUGGUCUAAGGUUUGACCUAUGAUGGAUGUGCAUGAAAAAAUAAUUGAAAGAAGAUGUCAAUUCUUUAAAUAAAUCUCAAAUAUUUUGAAGAGAUUUUUUUUUUUUUGGUGGUGUCUAGGGUUCGAACCCUAGUUCUUGCAUAUUUAUGCAUUGUCCUUGCUAAAUGAAUUAAGCUCAUAGGGACAGAUAAUUUGAAGAGAUUAGUCUUAACAUACAUAUGCCAAAUAUAUUUUUAAUUAAAAAAAUAUGUAAUCAAAUUUUGUCAUUACAAAACACUAAAAUUUGAGUUUUUUUUUCUUCAUGUUUAGUUAGUUAUGUUUUCUUGUUUAACAAAAGUUUAGUUAAUUUGUUUGAUAGAUCAAUUUGUCACAAAAUUGGUCUUCACAACCUUCCAAAAAUAAAAUAAAAUCGGUCUUUGGUCUUCACUAUUAAAGAUUGGAUAAGCCUUAACUACACAUCCUAUUGUGUCAUAACCAGUGUUAGUUGCAACCUCAUCACAAAACAACAAUGGCAUCUUCACGUCCUCCACCGUCAAAAUCCAUCGAUCUCGACUUAACUAUCAUCUCCGCCAAACACCUCAAAAACGUCAACUGGAAAACCGGCGAUCUCAAACCCUAUGUCGUCUUCUGGCUCGAUCCUGACCGUCGUCUCGCCACCAAAUCCGACGAUUCCGGUAACACCUCCCCCGUCUGGAACGAACGUUUCACCCUCCCUCUCUCUCUUCCUCUUCAAGAUUCCACCCUCACCCUUGAAAUCUUCCAUUCCAAACCCUCCGAUACCCCUAAACCCCUCGUCGCUACCCUCCGUCUUCCCCUCAAAGACCUUCCUGACCUUCAUCACUCCACAAUCGUCAAGAAAUUCUCCGUCGUUCGACCAUCGGGUCGACCGCAGGGGAAAAUUCAUCUCAAAAUUAGCCUCCUUGGCCGCUCUCCUCCUCCGCCAUCGCCACCGAUAUCACAAAUGUUUGAUUAUAACAACACAAUCCCUAAUCCUCACCCUAACCCUAACCCUAAUUCUUCAAAUCCUUCCUUUGUUUAUUACAGAGGAAACUCUUCUUCUGCACCUUCUCCACCACCUUCACCUUCACCUUACAAUUACUACACCAAUUACUCUGAUAAUAACUAUUCUGGUGGCAGUUACUUUCCUGGCUAUUAUCCUGGUGGUGCUUAUCCACCGCCGCCGCGGCCUUUCUUUGAACGUACUGGAAGUUAUGCUGCUGCUGCUGGACCGAGUGGACCGUCUGCGCCGCUUGAAUAUUCAUCCUCGUUUGAUCCAAGGCCAAAAGGCGGUAAAAUGGGCUUAGGAGCUGGGCUGGCUGUUGGUGCUGCUGCUGGGGCGCUGGGUGGACUUUCUCUGGAAGAAGGGAUGAAGUAUGAAGAGCGCAGGCUUGCGGAUAUGGUUGAAAGUGAUGUUGCUUCUGCGAGGGAUGAUUAUGGAGAUGCACAUUACCGAGAUUAUUGAGUUCUUUGUGGCUGGUGUUUGAUAAGGUUUGGAGUUUGAAGGAUAAUUAUUCUAUCUGGUGUUGCUUUGACAUAUAUAAAAAGAUAUAUAUGUGAUGUAUGUAUAUAUUUGAAUUUAGUGUUGGAUUGAAUGCAUAUUUGUUGCUUUAUUUGAUGCUAGAUGAUAAUGAAUGAAGUAAGAAAGAAAAUGUUUACCAUGUGAUGCGAUGAUUUGGAAUUGUUCAUCCGGUUAUAUUAUGAAAAUUAAAUAAAUUUGGUUUUCUUUUAAGUGUGGCUAGUGUGUUCUGUGUUUUGUUCAUGAUUUCUCAUAGGUCUAUGUAUAAUGCAGAAUUAGUUUGCAGCAUAAGUCUGUUCAUGAUCUUCCUCAAUGUUGCGUGAGGUUUCCCUUUUAGCGUUAUAUUUAUGCCUAAUGUAUCUGAUAUGGGUACAAGGCUAUGUUACCUUUUCAUAAAUUAACCUAGCAAAAGUGAACCCAUAUGGCUUUCCUUUCAAAUGUGUAGCAUGUUGAAGAAUUUGAGGUUCUUCAGAUGAUUGCUUGUUAAGCAUUUCAGCUGUGGUGCUUAUAAUGUUGCUUUAUUUAUCAAAUAUUUGACCAGCUAGGGCGUGUAUUGACUUUUUCAAUAUUGAUAAUUUGAAUUCAUUGCUGAAUGAGCUUAUGGAAAUAUCGAGUAAAAUAAUUAAAACUGAAAUGAAGAUGUACGUGGUUAUAUCGAUGGAAUAUAGGUUCUCGGUCAGUUCUGCUUUUAAACUGUAGUUCUUAUGUUAAAAAGCAUGCGUUUCUUUGUUUCUUAUAUAGACUCACAUUGCUACUUUUGACGUUUGUUCACUCCAGAGUUUUUAUCACCUGGUUCUCUUCAUAUAGUAAAUAAUGACAAUGUCACUUUUAAUCCACAUAUCCAGACCAAUGUCAACUACUGAAACAUAAUUGAACUUGAGCUCUUCUGCAUUUUGCAUCAUCCAGUGAGAGUUUUUUUUUUUUUUUUUUGAAUGGCAAAUAUGCAUUAUCCACUGAGAGUACUUGUGUCAUUGGAUCUAUCACUAGAACAAUUUAGCCUACAUGUUCAGAUUGGUGGUGAGUGGUGGCAUAAUUUGUUUGCGUCCCAAUGUACACACUGUUAAAAUUAGGAAGCUCCAAUUGGUAGCCAGCCAAAUGCAGUGAUAGAGUACUUCAUCGUGUUUACAUGCAUAAUGGUUGGAGUGCACCGAUGUGUAAUUGUUUAUCUUUCAAUUUAAAUGGAUAUGAUAUUGCUUUUGUCCUUGCUAAGAACUAAAAAUUAAUUCUUUCAUCAUGUCAUUUUUUAGUGGAAAUUAUUGUUUUUUAGUGUACUGAUGUGAUAGGGCAGGUAUGGGUGUUCACACUUAAAGUUGGUUUCUUUUUAAGUGUGUCUACUAUAUUCUGUGGUUUUGUUCAGAGUGUCUGUAUAAUACAAAAUCAGUUUGUAGCAUAAGUUUGUUAUUGAUCUUCCCGAUUGUUGUGUGAUGUUUCCAUUAUAGCAUUAUCUUUAUGCCUAAUGUACUUAACAUGGGUACAAUAUGCUUGUGUUAAUCAUGUUUGCCUUUCCAUCAAUUAACCUUGCGAAAGUGAAGUCAUAGCCCAUAUGGCAUUGUUUUCCUUUCAAUUGUGUUCCAUAUUGACGAGUUUGAGGUUCUUUGGAUUAUUACUUGAAAGAAAUUCUGCUCUCCUUAAAUUCGUUGGAAACUUAGGGCUAGUGCAGCUUAUAAUGUUGCUUUAUUUAUCAUAUAUUUAACCAGCUGGGACAAGUAGUGACUUUUUAAUAUUGAUAAUUUGAGUUCAUUGCUGAAUGAUAUGGAAAUAUUGAGUAAAAUAAUUAUAAAUGAAAUGAAAUCAUGAUGUAUGGGUUAAUAUCAAAGGUCUAUAGGUUCUCACUUAGUUCUACUUUUAAAACCGUAGUUUUUAUGUUAAAAAGCAUGUGUAUCUUUGUUGUUGCUAGACGUACAUUACCACUUUUGGCGAUUGUUCACUCCAGAGUUUUUCACCACCCUGUUCUCUCUUCAUAUAGUAAGCAAUGGCAUUGUCACUUUUAAUCCACAUGUCCUAACCAAACUCUAUAGGUAAACAUAAUUGAACUUGUGCUCUUUUGUGUUGAAAAAGAUGACCGAGAUAGUUAAUUUGAUAAGCAAAUUAUCCAGUGGGAGUACGUAUUUCAUUGGAGGUAUCAUUAGAAUGAUGUAGCCUAUGUUUAGAUUGGUGGCGACAUACAUUUUUCCGCGCCUCAAUGUAGACACCUUGUGAAAAUUAGGAAGCUCCAAUUUGUAUCAGUAGCUAAACAAAAAUGAUGCAGCAUUCCGUUGUGGUUAUGCACAUAGUGGUUGUUGGAGUGUACUUUUGUUUAUCUUUUGAUUUGAAUGGAUAUUGUCCUUGCCAAGAACUAUAUCUUUCAUACUGUAUGUUUUUUAGUGGAAAUUAUUGUUAAGUUACUUCACUGUCGUAAUACAUUAAGGCUGAAGAAUGUUUAGCACAAAAGAAUGUUCUGUCAGUUGUGGGUUGUUAGUUUACUUUUUUGGUUAUCCAAGUUGAAAACAAUUUUUUUGCCAUAUAUUCGAAUGUGAUACUUUAUUGUUUUCAGUAAGUAAAACUUCUUUCCAGUGCACUAUGUAGGAAUACAUAUUCCAAUCGCUUGAGAUUUUAUUCACCAUAAACCUGGAAAACAUAGGCCCUGAUAUUCUAAAAUCUAGAUGAGAGAAUGUCUCCUUCUCCAUUGGCUCAAGCAUCGUUCCUAGACGUGCAUUGAAAUCAUUAUAAUUUGCAGUGUUAUACUUAUUGUACGAAAAAUGCUUCGUGUUGUGGUUUUUUUUUUUUUUUUUUUACAACAGCUUCUUGUUGUGGCUAGCUCUAUGUGUAUAGUUGUCUUGAUUAGCCAUGCUCCUCCCAUAGGAAUUGCGCUGACUCUGGACGUGUGGUGUGAGAUCAUUAGGAAGCUUCCUUGGUAUUCUUCUCUGGUUAACAUGUACAUUGUUCAUGCAGAGAGUGAUAGGCUGUCUGGUAUGGCUUGAGGGAAAAUGGAAUCCCUAUUUGCUCUCUGACUUCAUAUAGGAAUAGGGAAGGUUUCCUUGUCUCUAAACAUCCUUGUUCUGGUUUGUGGGAUGAAUGUUUAUAAAGUAGCCGAUACUUUUGAUUUGGGAUCUUUGUUCAUGUUCUUAAAUCAGCAGUCUUUUUUAAAAAAAAAUAAAAUAAAAUCAAAAUGAUAUAUUAAUCAGAGAGCCAUCUUCCAUCACUGUUAAAAAAGCAAAAAUUAGUGAGGGAAUUUUAGAAAGGGAAAACGUGAAAUUCCUCUCUAAUUCCGUCACUAAAUUUUACGACCAAGGAAUUUGUGAGAAAUUUUAUUUUUUCUAUCACUAAUUUCCCUAUCUAAUUUUACUUUUUUUAGUAGUGCAUGUAUAAGGUAUACCACAGAAAACACUAACAAAAUACAAUCUUAAAUCAGCAGUCUUGGCACCAAUGGUGCCUCCAUCCACCCAAAAAAAAUGCACUAGAACGUAAAACAAAACAAUAUUCAAAUAACUUAAAAACUUAAAAGUAAACUAAUAACUUUAAAAAUAAAAAUUUAUAACAGGGUUCCUUUAAAUUUAACGUAUGUAAUCUGUGGCAUAGCCUUUCAUGUAAAAGGAGUAGCCUUGACUACCUCCAAAUAAUAUUUUUUUGAAUUGAUUAAUAUAUCUAACUAUCCCAAAUAAUAAAUAUUGAGGUACAUGAUUGAUAGAUUUAUAUGUAUAAGUUUGGUACUUCCGAUGUCAAUAACAACUAUAGAGAAAACUUUUUCAUCAAGAAUCUAUUUUUUAAACCGUCAAUUAUGGAUAAAAAAACACAUUUUGUCCAACUUUUUUAAAUAGCAUACUAUCAAUUUUUGUCAUUUGUUGCUGCUCUAAGUUAAUUUUCGAAUUAUUUUGUUUUUUAUCUCUACGACACUUGCAAUUUUUAAUGUAAGUUUUUAAUUUUAGUCUUUAAUUUUUCGUUAUAUAGAUUAAGGCCAAGACUUGAAACACUUUUUUUUUUGUAAAAUUUUAAAAAAUUGAAUGCAAUUUUUGUAUGAACUAAACCUAAAAAAUUAUAAUUUAUAAGACUAAAAACAUAUUUUAUCCUUAAAUUUAAUAUGUUGAUUUUAAAAUAUUUUAUUUUUUCUUAAAGUUGUCAAGCGAGUCUUUUUGUGCUUACCUAUGGUUGUCGGUUUAAAUCCUAGUUUCCGCACAUAAAGCGAAAUUAUUGUUUAUAUUAAUAAAAAAAAAUUAAAAAUCAUGUCCUCAACCAACAAAUCAUGUCACUAUGCAUAAAGAUUAUUAUUUUUAAUAUGACCGGGGCUUUCAAAAUGUUCAAGAGGAUCCUAAAUUAGAUUUGAAUGAUCAUAAUUCAUAUCCAUUCAUGAACUCGUGCCUCAUUUUCCCUGUAUCUCCAGGGUGAUUGAAUCUAUACACAUUGUACAAAAAGAGAAAAAGAAGACGAGAAUCACAACCGAUAUCCAUAUAUCAUCCAAAUAAAUACAAAAAUCUUAAAAGUUAUUCCUAGUUUAUGCUGGUCCAAAUAACAUAAUAGUACAAAAAUCUUUUUAUUUUUGACAAAAUAGUCCAAAAAUCUUAAAAAGUUAUUCCUAGUUUAUGCUGGUCCAAAUAGCAAAGAAUCUGAUUAUGAUAUUAACUCAACUCACCCUCUUAAUAGGUCCAUUUGAUUGAAAUUAACCACAUACAGAUAACCUGGAGAAAAAGACUCUUACAAAAUAGAAGUACAAUUAUUAUGGCUAUGAUGAAUCCCAUUACAACAAAGAACGGAAAACCAAUUUGUCAAAAAAAGAAAAUGAAAACCAAAUGAUUAAGCUUAAGUGAAUAUUAAUGAUGAGAUGUUCUGGAGAACCAUGUUUGAAUUCCAACAAAAAUAAUCUCUAGCGAGACUUUACUUUUCCUUUAAGAUUAUCAAAGACCAUUUUUUUUUUUCCGACACUUCUUAUGUUGGUUAAAAUUCAUUGUUCGGUUUUUUUGUUUUUUUUUGUCAAGUAGUCUAGUGGCUAGAGAAAUUCACCUUAAAGAUGAAUAAGUGGGAUGUCCGAGGUUCGAACCCCAACCCCUACACAUAUUGUGCAUUAUCCCUUACCGGAUGAGCUUAGGGGACUCAUUGUUCGGUUUAAUAUGUCUCAUUUUAGAUUGUUUAAAAAAAAUAUUAUCAAAGAUCAUUUCGCUCAAAAAGGAGGGCUAAUGAGCAAAAAAAAAAAUUGCAUUGCUAGACCAUGAUUGCUUAGUGGUCAUUGUGUUGAGUUCAAACAAUUCUUAAUUUCAAACUAAUAUUUUAUUAUUUUUAAAAAUAUUAAAAUUUGUCUCCAUGAGUUUAGGCUAGGUAGUAGGGGCAAUGUAUAUUAUAUGUAGGGGUUAGAGUUUGAACAUCGCACACCCUAAUUUACCACAUUUAAAUAUGUGAGCUCCCGCCAAUAAACUUUUUAGGGUGUGUUUGUUUCAAGUUAUAUUUGUUGAUUCCUGAGAAUAAAAUGAUAGAAAUGUAUAUGCCUAUGUUUGUUACAAGUUUACUAAAUUUUAUUCCUGGGUAUAAAAUGUUCCUGAAAAUAGAAAAAUUUUCCCAAAGAAAUUGGUGGGAAUAAAGUUCCCAUGGAGAUGAGAAUAAAUUCUAAUGUAGUUACCUAUUAUAAUCCUUAUUUUUAUGAUUCCAAGAAAUAUUAUAAAACUAACCAAACAUGUUUUUUCUAUAUACCUUGGAAUAAAAUUCCUAUCUUUAUAUUCUAAAGAAUGUUAUUUCCAGGAAUAAAUUUGGUAAACUUGAAACAAACACACCUUUAAUAAAAAAAGAGACACCGAUUAAAGUUACUAAAAAAACAAAAUUAUAUAGUAAUUAUUGCAUUAAAAAUUGUGUAAUUAAUUCAUAAAUAAGUCAACAAAAUUUUCUUUUAUGGUAAUAAAAUCCUUUUUUUGUAUGAUUAAUCAGUGUCCGGGGACCCCGCUUAACAAUAAAAAAAACUUACAUUAAAAUCUUAACCGUUUAUAAUCUUAACCGUCAAAAUUUUGAUAGGAGGGAAUCCGAUUUGGAAGUUGCAGAAGGCCGCCAACCACCUGUCAUCAACUUUUAAGGGUGCAUGCACCAACACACCUUAAGGCUGUCUAUAAAAACAAGACACAACAAACCCAACGUCUCAAACCAUUUUAAUAUCGAAGAACGCACAUAAUUCGAAGUUCAAUAUUAACACUCCAACGUAAAAUUGGUAAAAUGGCUUUCAUGUUUAAUUACACAAAUUCAUUCGAUAUAAGAACCUUGUGACAAAAGGCGUGAUUGGCUUAGCAGUGAAAAUUGUCCAAAUCGACGUUUUAUGUGAAGCUACCUUUUGUAGCUUUUAAACCACGGCAGAAAGUGCCUCGUAACGAGGUAUUUGCACUUCCACCGCUUUAAUAAACACAUACAAAGUUGAUUUGAUUUGUCUAUAACGAUUAGCUCAACUGACAAUGUUUGUUAGGUUUGACACGUUUACUUAGAAUUUCACAGUUUAAAUUUAUUAUAUGUGAGUUUCAAAUUGUAUUUGUCACGUGACAGAAAGUAAUUAAUUUGAUUUGAAUGAUAUGAUCAUAUCCGAUCGUGAAUGCAUCCCUCAUUUUGCUUGUAUGUGUUGGGUGAUUGAAUUGAAUUGAAUCUAUAUAUCUAUAUACAUUGUACAAAAGGAGAAAAAGAAGAAGAGAAUCACAAUCACUACAAACCAAUAUCCAUAUAUCAUCAAAAUAAUUACAAAUAUACAAAAACAUAAAGUAAUAGUUAAAAGCUUAAAAACUAUUCCCAAUAUAUGUUGGUCCAAAUAGCAAAGAAUUUGAUUAUGAUCUUAGCAUUAACUCACUAUCUUAACAAGUCUAUUUUGAUUGAAAUUAACCAUGUGUUGAUAACCUAGACAGGAAAAAAAAAACAAAAAAUAUUUACAAAAUAGUACUGCUAUUAUUAUUAAUAGCAAAUAAUUUGACUAUGAUCUUAGCAAUAACUCACUAACUUAAUAUGUUCAUUUUGAUUGAAAUUAACCAUGUGCUGAUGUGCACAUAAGCUAGAGAGAAAGGAAAAAAAAAGCAAAAAUCAUACAAAAAAGUACUGCUAUUAUUAUCAGCAGCAAAAAAUUUGAUUAUAAUCUAAGCUAUAACCCACUUUUUUUUCUUUCUAGGGAAAUAACUCUCUUAAUAAGUUCAUUUUGAUUGAAAUUAACCACGUGCAGAUAACCAAGACUGAAUUUCUCAAAAAACAAAGAAAAACCUAAAGAGAAAAAAGUAACAAUCAUACAAAUGGGAAUGCUACUAUUAUUAUUAUUGGGGAAAUACUAACAAGUGCCCUCAUUUGUUAAGACUAAAAAAGAAAUUUUGUCUUAAAAAUAGCGCAUUCAAUACAUUCAAACUUUAAAAAAUAACUUUUUCUAUUUAAAAUUAUCAAUUAUUUUCAUUUUUGUAUCAUUAAUAACAGUAUAGGUUUGAAGAAUCAUGUUCAAAUUUGACGUAAAAUAAUCCUUAGUCAGAUUUUACCGUCUUUUAAGAUUAUCAAAUUAGAUCAUUUCCAUUAAUAAAUGGAGGGUCAAGACAAAAAAAAGGGAAGUUGCAAGACCAUGAUUGCUCAUAGUCGAAUUUUUAUCCAUUCAUACCAUCAAUACAUUUGUGCUUGUUAGAUUGAGAUUAUACCGUUCAAAUUUCAUUGAUACUUUAUUUAUACUAUAUGUAAGCAAAAGUGAGUUAAAUGAAUUUGAUUUUAUACUAUCCGUGAGCAAAAAUGAGUCAAAUAAAUUUGAUGUAUCUAGAGAGAAUUUUGAAACAAAUACUUCAAUUUUGUUUGACCAACUUUUACUUACAUAUGGUAUUUAAUAGAUAAAAAUUUCUUUAAAAAAAUUAAAAUUAAAAUUAAAAUUUGCAUUAAAAUAUGUAGGUGAUUAAUUUUGAUCCAACGGUCACUAGUGAGUGAUGUGAUGACCAAGAGCAAAGAAUCCAAUUAUUAUAGAAGUUGCACCAACAACCACCCGUCAUCAACUUAUAGGGUGCAUGCACCAACACAUCUUAAGGUUGUCUAUAAAAACAAGACACAAUGAACGUCUAAAACCAUCUCAAUCACUUGCAAACUAUAUAAAAGAACAAAACUUGCACCAAGAGUGAAAGAUCAAUAUCUACUACUCUCUUAAGUAAAAUAUAGUAUAAUAAUGGCAAAACAUUGUUCUAAAGAUUCUAGUGCAGUUACCAUCCUCUCAAAAUGCACUGUUUUCCCAGACCAAAAAUCGACCCUAGCAGACCUCAAACUUUCUAUCUCAGACCUUAACAUGAUAUGUUGCCAUUACAUCCAAAAGGGCAAUCUCUUCACAUCGCCAUCUCUCCCUUCUCAAACACUCGUCCCCCACCUUAAAACCUCUCUCUCUAAAACCCUAUCAAUCUUCCCCCCACUUGCUGGCCGUUUUGUGACCGACUCUGCCGGUCACAUCUUUAUCACAUGCAAUGACUCUGGCGUAGAUUUCAUCCAUGCCAGCGCCACGGAUCUCACUAUCACUCACCUUUUAUCACCACCUGAUGUCCAUCCAGCAUUCAAACAAUUCUUCCCAUUCCACCGCAAAAUCAACUACACUGCUCAUUUCUCACCGAUUUUAGCUGUUCAGGUAACUUCCCUCGCCGAUGGAAUCUUCAUCGGCAUCGCUGUCUCCCAUGCCGUCACCGACGGUUCCACCUUCUGGAAUUUCUUCAACACGUUUGCAGACAUUUCUAGAGGACUCACAGUCGCUAACAGAAUCCCGUAUUUCCGCCGGGAAUCGAUCCUGAUGUCGAAAGUCCCUGUCCAGUUACCGGAAGGUGAAAUCAAAGUAUCGUUCAACGCCGACGCGCCUCUCCGUGAGAGAAUUUUCACCUUCACUCGAGAAUCAAUUCAGAAGCUAAAAGCAACGGUGAAUAAGAACAUUAACCACCGUACAUCACCGGAAAAUGCUGACGUGGCUGAGAUAAUAUCAAAGAUGAAAAACGACGAUGCUCAAAUGAAAGCGGUUGCAGAAAGAGUAACUGUCGAAACGACAGAGAUUUCAUCGUUUCAAUCACUCAACGCGUUAAUGUGGCGAUGUGUUACACGCGCGAGGAAACUUGAUAGUUCUAAAACGACGACGUAUAGAAAUGCUGUGAAUGUUCGAAGCCGUUUGGAACCAAAGUUACCAGAGUAUUACUUCGGGAACGCGAUUCAAAGCAUUGCCACGUACGCAUCAGCGCGUGAAGUCGUUGAAAACGAUCUUACAUGGAGUGCGAUGCAGCUGAGUAAGAGUGUGAAGGAGUACGAUAGUGCUACAGUGAGGCGCGUCGCAGGGAAAUGGGACGUUGAGCCGAAGUGUUUUCCGAUGGGGAAUCAUGACGGUGCAACUCUUCAGAUGGGAAGUUCCCAUAGGUUUCCGAUGUAUGAGAAUGAUUUUGGAUGGGGGCGGCCGUUGGCGGUGAGGAGUGGUGGUGCGAAUAAGUUUGAUGGGAAGAUGUCGGCGUUUCCGGGGAGGAAAGGUGGUGGUGCGGUGGAUGUGGAGGUGCUUUUGGCGCCGGAGACGAUGGCAAGGCUUGAGAGUGAUGAGGAGUUCAUGGCCUAUGCUUCUUGUCAGCAGUGACACGUGGGAGAAUGUUGGAAGCGCGUAAUUGUCACCUCCUCUCCGUUGGAAUAAAACUAUACUUUGGGAACCAUUGUUACGUUGUAGUCCUUGAAAGUUAGUCUUGAUUUCAAUUACUAUAUCAUUUAUUAGUUAGUAUUAGUUGAAUAUUUUGAAUCAAAUGACCGUGGUGGUAAUUUUGAAAUUUAUGGUGUAAUUGCUGGAAAUGCUACUCCCUCCAUUUCAUUUUGAUUAUUACUAUUGUAUUUUUUUCUCUGUUUUAAAAUCGUGGGUAGAAAUUCCUCAGCAUAUAAAAUACUAUGCAAUUUUAAUGAAGAUAGUGUGGAUGUGGUGUCGUCCAAAAUUUGGCAACUUGAUACCACAUAAAGGAUACUUCCACUGUCUCAUAAUACACACAAUUGAUCUUAUUACGCGUGUCAAUGCAUAAUUUAGAGCUUAAAUAUCUUGAAUAAUAUAUUAGAAGUGUUCCAAUCCUUCAAAUUAGCACCAAAGAAAACACUUCGUUUCCCAGAAUACACAAAAACAUAACGUGAAUUCUAAAAUUAUUGUUGACAUUCUUAGGAGUGAAGGAGUGGAAAAUGUGUAUGGUUGGAGAUUGAUACAAAAGCUAAAGAGUCCGCCAACUAUGAAUUAAGAAUUCAAAGUUUGUCACUCAUACCGUAAAGUUAAUGCGUGUGCGGUCACGUUUGCUGAUAUGUGAUGCGAUCAUGAGUCUAUUUUAAUGUUUUAUUGGCAUUGUUAUGCUCAAGUUAGAUCCAUGUAUUUGGGUUAUUUGGUGGAAGUUGUCAUCUUUAUACUUCCUUCUAGUUUCUUUGGGCAUCAGCCCACUUUUCUCAAAAAAAAAAAAAAAGGAAUUAAUUCAAUUUAGUUGGCCGUACGUACCUACCUAGUCAAAGACGUAUGCCUGAACAGAUGAUGAAAAAUAUAUGAGAAAGCAACUAUGAAGAUUUCCGGCUAGUCAACAACGGUAUCAAUACACUUACAACAAUCCCCAUGCAUGCAUAAGUAGUUUUAUUCAUCUUAUCAUGCGUUUGGAGUUUGGACUCAUAUGAGCUAUACGCAUGUAUGUGCAGCAUCACCGAUAAUUCAAUAUGAAAAUAAAUCUCGCACUCCAUCUUUUACAUAUAUACGUGGUCCCCAUUGACUAUUUCUUGAUGCUUCAUAAUUCUUAAUACAGGCUUAUGCCUAUAGAUAUAAUUGAACUCAGUCACUCACUAUCAUCCCCAUACACCCAUUUAUCUGCAGAAUCCAAUAUAAUCAUGACUUGGUUUAGAGAUGGUUGACCAUGCGUGUUACUCGAUUUGUACGUUAAUGAAUCACAUGGGGGUUUUACCUAUUGGGAUGAUGGUUAUGGUGUAAGGCAAAGCAUCCUGUUACGUAUAUGAAUUUGAUAUAUAUACCAUAGAAAGCCUAGGACAACGGCUGCAUUUUUUCUCACGUGCAAAAUAUGCACCUGCUUAAUGCAUUUUUUUAUGAGCAAAUAUGUAAUUUGUUUUAGUUAUCGCAUAAUGUGUUUUUAGAUUGAGAAAUACGUAUUAGGGUUACACAUUUUAACGCACUUCUAUAAUACAUUCCAAUUUAACGCACUUCUAUAAUACAUUCCAAUAACCAUUAGCUAUGUUACCCACUUUAAUUUCAAAGUUGGGAAUUGCCGUCAAUGGCUUUUGGUUGAUCAAAACAAAAGAUAAUUUGAGAAGGUUGGUUUCGUAGUUUUGUUCAUUCUUUGGUAAUUCCAUCGGAAGUGUAACGACCAAAUUGAUAAAUGUAGUGUCUGACAUAGAAUCUUGUAGAGACCAUCUUGACAAAAGUAGCGUCUAACAUAGAAUCAUGUAGAGACCAUCUUAGAAAGGUUGAAUAGAGGAGAUGAAUAGUUAAUCUAAAUAAUAAUAAAAAAUAAAAUAAAAUAUACACUAUUAAAAUGAAACCGGUUGCAACGUUAAGGAAUAAAGAAAGGUUUGAGACCCUUUGAGCAGGGUACAGGGUAUGGUACUUUGCGAGGGAGGGGGUUGGGGGGAAGGGGAUGAGAAGUCGCCAGUCAGUGUAGCAGGUUUUUCUUAAGUAAUAAAGAUAAAGACGUAAAAAUAGGGUGUAAAUAACAUAUGUCGAAAUCUUAUGUAAGUGCAAUUCAUAAAUGAUAGGAAAGAUUUGGAGAGAAUCAAGUACUGACUGAAACAUACUCCAUUUGUUUUCUCAUCAGAAAAAUAUACUCGCAAAUACAGAACGGUUUCCGUUAAAAAAAAAAAAAAAAAAGUGAAGGUUGUUCAAUCUAUUGGCUCAUUGCUGACUACACAACAUCAUGUAUGAGUUGCAACUCACAACACUGCUCGCGUGUUAACUAAUCUAAAACUGUUGCUUGAUGGACAGGUGAUAAUCAGCAAAAGUUAAUGAGACAGAUUUCAUUUCUGAGAUCCUGAUCCAUUUGUUGAUAAUAGGUUCUUCAACAAAUACUAAACUAAGAAGAUGAUCAUAGGAUACAAGAGUAACAUACAGAAAUAAAGAGCACGGGAAAUAGUGUAAAUGAAUUAUGCCAUGCAUGUUACUUGUAUUUCUCUACCCUAUCAGAAAUGCUCAAGAAGACCGACAAAUGCAAUUAAAAUGUAAGAAUCCCGGUCCAUGGAAUGGAAUCAAUCAUAGUGCCUUUAGAGCUCAACCCAUUGCAAUCGUCGAAACCUUAUGCAGCUGCACUUGGUACUGGUGCUGGUUUUGAGUCUUCUGCCCUUUCAUGUUCUUUGUUGAGCAUCUGAAAUUACAUUUCAAAUAUUAAAACUCAUAAAUCACAGUGAUGAAUCCUAAAUAUAAUGUAAUAAUGAAUCCUAAAUAUAAUGUAAUAAUGAAUCCUAAAUAUAGAGCCAAAAUCAGCAAAGAUAAAUAAUACUUUGCCCAAAAUUCAGGAUACUGAAUCUCACCUUGUUGUUAAUCAAGUUGUGGAGUGCAAUUACACUUCUAAUGAGAGACGAUAGGUAUAUUACCAGCAUCAUAUCAUUCGUUUUCACUACACAUGUAGAACAAGAAUUAACAAUCUAGAAGAGACAUUCGGAUAAACAUCAUAUUCAUACAAUCAAAUCACAAAAUUUAACCUGCAAAAGCCUUGAUAAGAUCAGAGACAUUGAGAUUUGGUAGCAGGUUGAACACGUCCUAACAAAUUACAGCAAGAAAUUAGAUAGGGGAAAAAACAAUAAUGGAGCAAAAGCAACAAUAAAACUUGUUAUUCAAUGCAAUUAUUUUUUCCAUCCAUAUAUGUCUCGUGGUUGACAAUUAGAGGUGGGGAUCAACAUUAUAUACGUUGGUCCACAUUCACGAACAAUUUGAAGCCUAGGGAUUAGUAUUUAAUAUGCAAGAUUAUGAGAAACAAACCUGCAGAUGGUAUAGGAUCUCAUGGUUUAAGGGAAGCUUUCCAUCAAUAACAAGAUCAAGGUAACCCCUUAUCUCUUUAAGUCUUGCAUCCAAACCUUUCAAGGCUGUGAGUUUUCCGCUCACCUAUGUAAAAAGCUACAGUGUAAGCACUCUGCAUUCAUUUUCUUCACUAAAAUAAACCACAAAAAAGCAUUGCAGGGAAAAAAACGUACAAAAAGAGACUGUUUCAUGAAAAAAGGAAAUGAAGUAAACGAAAUUAAUAAAUAAGAAUCUGUUUAAGGAGAAAAAAAAACCUCGGUUGCAAGGGUGCUAAUGGUUGUAUCCUUCACAUCCCUGAGCAAGUGUUCCACUCCUGCACAAAGAUAAGAAGAAUUCAAAAAAGAAAAAAAUGUUCAGCAAGCAACUAUAUGGAUAAAAUCAAAAGACCUAGUAAAAAUGAACCAUGGAAAAAUUGCAGAAGUUCUACAUUAAAUGACAUACCUAUUUCCUCAACCUCAUGAGCAGCGAUCUCUGAUUGCACAUGCACAAAGACCUUUUGGCUUUUCUGAGUAGCAUUCUGCAUUCAGAAUAAACUAUCUAUUAAAAUACUAUCUCUUCUCCCACCGUCCAUAUACAGAGGAGUCAUUUUUGCAAUAAUAUCAAUAAAAAUAUAAGUUUAAUAAUUCUAUCAUGGGUAUAAGGGACUUUAACCCUACCUCUUUAACCUCCUCAACAGCAUAGUAUGCUUUUGUUGGAAUUCCCAACUCCUUAGGUUCAACAUCAAUUAUAACCAAAACGGGAUUUGGAACAUAGCUGCAAUAGUUAAAAGCAUGAUCAAUUUGGAUAGAGAUUGAUCCGGAAUACAAAGCACAGAUGAAGACAAUAAUGCAAGUAAAGAGGCAAACACAACAGCAGCAACAUAUAGAAAUGUCUUGUGACACACUAACCAAAUCAUGACAACAUUUUCACAAGGGUAUAAGGGUAAAGAAUUUGCCGUCACUAAAUUUACAAAUAUUUUGGAGAUAUUAAAGCCUAAAUGGGGUAAAGGUAAAGAAUUGAAACAUUACUCCACACAAGAUUUCAGUUCAUAAAACAUACUCAUUAAAUAACCCAUGAAUGUCGAGGUCAUUUUCUCGCAGCUUUGGACCAGUGCUAUACCACCCCACCACAUGCUCCUUUGCUGUAAAGAUUGUUUGUUUAGAUCAGAUAUUCAAUGGAGAGAUUGAUACAAGAAAAUGAAAAAUCUACAAACUCAUACCAUUUAUUCUCUUAAACAUGGAAAACAUUGCUUCGUGAUAAUUGUGGUCGAGAAACCAAAUGCUGGGGUCCUUGUCAUCUUCUUCAAAAGGCACUGUUGAUUAGAUAACCAAUUAGUCAGAGAUAUACAAUUAACAUAUUCUAUUAGCUGAUUCUAUUUCUAAAUCACACAUAGAUGAUAGAAUCAUCUUAACCAAAUUUAUAUUUGAAGUAAUUGUUUCACACAUUCAAUUGGAUAUCCAACUCAAUAAACAGAUCAGUGGAGAAACUAGUGUCAUGAGAAACUUCAUUAUUUGUUAUAAUUACUUACUAUAUAACAAACAUGUCAAACUAAUAGAAGCCACAACUGUGGCAAGCUGUCUUCAAAAAUUCUUUGAAAUUAUAAAUAAGACAGCACCAAAGCUAAGAAAACCCUUCAACCAUCACACAGAACUGUCAUAGAGAUUCAACCAAGUUUUAUGUUGGUUGUUGACUGCCUAACGAAACAUUUCAACCAUCACAGUAUCACACAAAACUGUCAUACAGAUUCCACUAAAAAUAAAUGUUGGAUGUUGACUGCCUAACACAAUCCUUCAACCAUCAUACUGAACAGUAAAAGAGAUUCGACCGAUUUUACAUUGGUUGCCAACUGCCUAACACAACCCUUUAGUCAUCACGUAGAACAAGACUAAAAAAAUUAAGGUAAAGAUUUCCACAAACAAGUCGUAUCAUGCUUUGAGCCAUCUCAUACUAAACUAUACCUCCUAGAAAUUGCUAAUAGGUAAUAACUUUGGGCAUUACACAGAGUGGCAAACAUGUGGACCAAAAUAGAGAAGAAUACAUUAAAGUAAAUAUUGAUUACCAUAUCAUACCAUAUACUCACUCUAGACUCAAUUAUAAGCAAAAAUAUGUACUUUCACACAUUAAGGAUGACAGUUGAGUGCAUUUAAUUUUCUUGAUUUCAUUUAAAAAAGAAAAUACAUUUACUGGUCUACCCCUAAUUAUAAUGGUUAUUUCCCAUGAUAUUAAGGAAUCGAUGUAAGGGUAUUUUUGAAAAAGUAAAACUUUUUCUUAUAGAAUCCAAAAAAUUUAGGCAUUUUUAUACUUCUUAUAAUGGAGCCUGGGGUAGUACAUAAAAAAACUUAAGGUUAGAAUUACACAUACACUACUCCUAAGUCAAAAAUCAGGUCUGUUCAUUCAUGAUUCAAAUGUAAAAGAAAUUUAAUCCAAGUUCAAUGCGCUCUACACAGAUUGGUUAAAUUUGAAUAAACAUGACUUUUUUUGAAAGAGAUGUUGAUUUUUGCUUAUAAUAGUGACUGGAGGGUGUAGAUCGGUUAAAUUUGAAUAAACAUGACUUUUUUUGAAAGAGGAAUGUUAUUUGAACAACCAUUUUAUGAGACAACUUGAGGGACAACCAAAAUAUACAUUUAUGUGGGUCUUAGCACAAAAAUCAAAGCAAUAUAUAUAUAUAUAUAUAUAUAUAUAUAUAUAGAGAGAGAGAGAGAGAGAGAGAGAGAAUGAGAACAUAAUGUGAGUAUGAGAAAGGAAAUUGUCAUAUAAGUUGUCACAAAAUGGUUGUUCAAAUAUUAUUUCUCCUAAAAAAAAAUAGCAAAAUGUGUAGUAGUAAAAGAGGAACAAAAUGCUAGGGUCCUUGUCAUCUUCUUCAAAGGGCACUGUUAAUUAGAUAACGAAUUAGCAAGAGAUAUACAAUUAACUUAUUCUAUAAGCUGAUUCUAUUUCUAUAAAUGAUAGAAUCAUCUGAACCAAAUUUAUAUUUGAAGUAAUGACUUUACACAUUCAAUUGGAUAUCCAACUCUGUACACAAACCAAUGGAGCAACUAGUGUCACAGGAAACUUUGUUAUACCUUAAACAUACUGUGUAAGAACUAAGAAACAUGUCAAUUUAUUAAUAAGUGACAACUGUGGACAGGAGUCUUCAAGAAUUGUAUGAAAUUAUACUGAAGGAGUUCUAUAUAAGAGGUCCAGGGUUUGAUCCAUACUGAGAACAUUCCCCCCUCCCUCUAACAAACUAAUCACUAAAAUUGUCCUAAAAGAGACAACACAAAAGCUAAGAAAAUACUUCAACCAUCACACAUAACUGGCAUAGAGAUUCGACCAAUGUUCUGCUCUAGAACACAGUCCUGCGGGUUUGGCCCUGAUUAAGCCUGGUUUGCCUAAGGUUUUAGGGUGAGUAUUGAGUGUGUAAUGGUUAGAUCCCUUGCCCCAGAAGCUAAGUCCCCCUUUUAUAUUAUCUGCUUUAGGGUUUUGCCUCUUCCAAUCAUUUGUCAGGCCCAAAUCCAUAGGAAGUGUUGGUCCUAAGGAAUUUUCUGCCCUUAGUUGGCAAUGAUCAGGCAUAGUACAGUAAUUCCAUGUGGUGGCCAGCCUAACUUCUUGAAAUUAGACGUCAGUACUACUACUAAGUCGACCAUCCAGUCACAGGGGCAGGUGUUGGGACUUUAAACUAAGUGAGUCCUAAGUCAGUCCCUACAUCUGUUCCGCAUUCUACCUUGUCCCUUUAGCUCGGUCGACCAGGGAUCCUAUGCCCUUUAUUGGGAGCACCGACUCUAAGGUACUAUACAACCAAGUUUUACAUGUUGGUUGUCGACUUCCUAACGAAAGCCUUCAACCAUAACACAGAAUUGUCAUUCUGUUACAGAUUUUUAAAUGAAGUUAGGUUCAAUUCGUCUCACAUUCAGACUAAGUGUUACAUUGGGUAUCAAGUAUCAACUGCCUAACACCACCAUUCAAAUCAUCUUAUAUAACUACACUCUAAAACAAAAUCAGGUUUUCUAAUUCCAGAUUCAAAUGUAACAAAUCUUAAGCAUGUUCAAUGACCUCUUUACAUAAAUAAUUUAAAAUUGAACAAACACAAAUUUCACUUUAAAUUCAUAACUAAACUUAGCCUUGCUAAAAUUAGGGCACAAAUUCAACACAACAAAACAUUAACCAUUGAGUAAAAUAAAUAAACAAAUAACGUGAAACGGUGUAGUAAAAGAGAAAAGAUCCGAACCGGCGUAGCUAUUGGAAACAUCAACGGUGCCUUUGAAAGUAGAACCGAGCAAAACACCAACAACACGCUUGCGAGUAUCCUUAGCGACUCUAUUGUAGUUAUCAACGAUGCUGAGUAACACUAGAGGAUGAACCACCACCUUCUCGAUCGAACGAGAUGAGAUUUGUUGCGUUUUUAUCACAUCCAUGGCGAAUUCGAAGCUUAGAUUUCACUCUUGUUUCGAAUGUUGCAAAGUGUUUUCUUUCGAUUCAAUUUUCCCUCUGCAACACCACUAACCAAACCAAGUCACCGCUGUAUUUUGCUUUAUUUUUUUCUUUUCUAUUCUUUUCGUGUUCGAUACGAAUACGAAAGCUGUACUGUACUUUGUUUUUUGUUUUUUGUUUUUUGUUUUUAGUGGCCCAUCCUAAUUGGGCCUGUAGCACAUUAUUUAAAGUGAUUUUUUAGGAAUUUCUUUUUCCACCCUUCAAAGUUCCCAAAAUACCUCUAUUUGGUUAUAUAUAUCCAAAUUCUGUCAAAAUCUAAAAUUCAAAUUAUAAUUGAUGCAGAGGUUUGUGAUGUUCAUCGUAUCAUAAUCUACUUCCAAAUUAAAACUAAGAAAGAAAAGUGAAAAAAAUCAAAAGAGAAGAAUAUUUCACGUUCUGUACUUAUAUUCCCGGAUUUUUUAAACCAAAGAUUAUAAAUGCACUCUAGUAGAAAAAUAUUAAAACACUUGACAAAAAAAAAAAUUAAAACAAAGAUUUCAAUGAACAAGCGAAGAUUUAUUUUAAAUUUCAACUUCGGGAUUUAACUUUUUGAUGCUCAUCGAGAAUCAAAUUUAAUUUUUUUUAUCAAUCAAUCACCUUAGGAAAUUUAUACAUGUUUGGUAGCUACGAAUAAUUAAGUUACUACAUCACUCUUCUGGCUUCUAAAAUUGAAAGAUCUUUUUCAGCAUUAUAAAGUACCAAGAAUGAAUAGGUUGAGAAACAAGAUGAAAAUGAAGUUAUCUUGGGUAAAGUGUUAAGGGUUAUUCUCACAUUAAUUGUGAAAGAAAAAUAAAAGGGUGUGAAUUUAAGUUUAAAAUGCCAACUAGAGAUUCUCCAAUAAGUGUAAUUGUUAAUGAAAGUGACACCAAACAAUUUGUUAACCUUUUUUUUUUUUUUUUUAAUUAGAUGCAUUGAGAUUUUACUCGUUACAUUGACCACUAUUUAUUCAAAUUCACUGUUUAAAUGACAAGACGAUUAAUUGAACUUUAACUGGUUCAUGUAUAAAUUAUGUAAGUAUGAUUUCCGUGAACUUAAUUCAGUUGGUAGGUUCGAACUCCGGACACUCCACUUUCCCACAAUUAAAUUGUGUGAGCUCUAGCUACUAGGCUACUUAACCAAAAAAUAAAUAAAUAAAUAAAUAAACUAUGUAACUAUUUCUCUAAUUUUAGGUGUCUCAUUUGGGUU
RNAcentral lists this long non-coding RNA (28125 nucleotides) under Medicago truncatula (barrel medic). RNAcentral describes it as "long non-coding RNA (MTRU_LNC000850)". Lineage: Eukaryota; Viridiplantae; Streptophyta; Magnoliopsida; Fabales; Fabaceae. The record is from RNAcentral.